UUUCCUACACAUGAGGAUAAAGGGAGGGCCCUUCGGGGACCCUACCGGCGGACGGGUUAUCACACGUAAGCGACAUAACCCUGUGCGGGGGACAACCCGGGGAAACCCGGGCUAAUACCGCAUGGACGGUGGGGCUGCAUGGCUCUGCUGGGAAACCCGGCCUCCUUACAGUGCCGGGGCGCAGGGAGCGGCUUGCGGGCUAUCAGCUAGUUGGUGAGGUCAUGGCUCACCAAGGCGACGACGGCUAGGGGGUCUGAGAGGAUGGCCCCCCACAUUGGGACUGAGACACGGCCCAGACUCCUACGGGAGGCAGCAGUGGGACUCCUACGGGAGGCAGCAGUGGGACUCCUACGGGAGGCAGCAAUGGGACUCCUACUGGAGGCAGCAGUGGGACUCCCUACGGGAGGCCGCACUUGGG
RNAcentral lists this small RNA (418 nucleotides) under uncultured bacterium. RNAcentral's name for it is "bacterial SSU rRNA". The stretch from base 6 to 319 matches the Rfam family "Bacterial small subunit ribosomal RNA", at positions 50 to 357 of the family's 1533-position model. The record is from RNAcentral.